Molecule: ribosomal RNA, 327 nt
Filed under: Atlantolacerta andreanskyi
Lineage: Eukaryota; Metazoa; Chordata; Lepidosauria; Squamata; Lacertidae
Description: partial small subunit ribosomal RNA
Rfam family: Bacterial small subunit ribosomal RNA
Source: RNAcentral
CUUUCCGCCAGAGGACUACAAGUGAAAAACUCGAAACUCAAAGGACUUGGCGGUGUCCCACAUCGGCCUAGAGGAGCCUGUCCUAUAAUCGAUACUCCCCGUUCCACCCAACCCCCACUAGCAUCCAACAGCCUAUAUACCGCCGUCGACAGUCUACCCCAUGAGGGUUUAAUAGUAGACAAAACAGCAUGCCCGCUAACACGUCAGGUCAAGGUGUAGCAAAUGUGGCGGAAGAGAUUGGCUACAUUUUUUAUUUUAAAAAAUACAAAAGGCACUAUGAAACACUGCAUGAAGGUGAAUUUAGUAGUAAAAUAGAUAAGAGUGUCU